GCCGCUCCUUGGCACAGGUAGUGAUCUGAAAAAGUCCCACUAAGACCCCUGAUGGCCCAGCUCCAGGGGAAAUCCUAAAAUAUCUCCAUCUGGUUUGGGCCUGACAUUCUAUCUAUUGCCAGAUGGACUGAUUGCUAGUCUAAAAGACCGGUUGUAAUACAUUUACAUAGGUCAUCUCCAGUUAUCUCUAAGACUAUCUAAA
Molecule: non-coding RNA, 202 nt
Organism: Pelobates cultripes (western spadefoot toad)
Lineage: Eukaryota; Metazoa; Chordata; Amphibia; Anura; Pelobatidae
Source: the annotation of a GenBank genome assembly